GACCAGGUAGCUUAAUGUCAAGAGCGUUGUUUUUUUAAAGGCGGUUGUUUUUUCAAAGGCAAAGGUGGCGGUGCGAAUCCGUUCUCAGGUCC
This 92-nucleotide transfer RNA is filed under the name Ruminococcus sp. RNAcentral describes it as "tRNA-OTHER". The record is from RNAcentral. Lineage: Bacteria; Bacillati; Bacillota; Clostridia; Eubacteriales; Oscillospiraceae. RNAcentral also lists the same sequence under 1 other name.